This 375-nucleotide unclassified non-coding RNA is filed under the name soil metagenome. RNAcentral describes it as "partial contains 5.8S ribosomal RNA, internal transcribed spacer 2, and large subunit ribosomal RNA". The stretch from base 1 to 120 matches the Rfam family "5.8S ribosomal RNA", at positions 35 to 154 of the family's 154-position model. The record is from RNAcentral.
GAUGAAGAACGCAGCGAAAUGCGAUAAGUAAUGUGAAUUGCAGAAUUCAGUGAAUCAUCGAAUCUUUGAACGCACAUUGCGCCCGCCAGUAUUCUGGCGGGCAUGCCUGUUCGAGCGUCAUUUCAACCCUCAAGACCCCUUCGGGGGACUUGGUGUUGGGGACCGGCACAGGGGCCUGCCUGCUUGUCUUGCAGCGCCCUCGCCGCCCCCGAAAUGAAUUGGCGGCCUCGUCGCGGCCUCCCCUGCGUAGUAGCACAAACCUCGCAACGGGAACGUGACGGCGGCCACUGCCGUAAAACAACCCAAUUUUAUUAGAGUUGACCUCGAAUCAGGUAGGAAUACCCGCUGAGCUUAAGCAUAUCAAUAAGCGGAGGA